Daphnia carinata is the source of this 1368-nucleotide long non-coding RNA. RefSeq lists it as uncharacterized. NCBI's taxonomy places the organism in Eukaryota, Metazoa, Arthropoda, Branchiopoda, Diplostraca, Daphniidae. The transcript has 5 exons. The record is from RefSeq and is a predicted model, not a curated record.
AAAGAGAACGCAAAAGAUGCCUCCUAUAAUGGGCUCUGGAAUGGUGAUAAAAAGUGCUCCAAAUUUGGAUAAAACGCCAAAAACCAUCAUCAUUAGCGCUGCAGCUUGUAUCACUCUCCUGCUUCCCACCUGAAGGCUCCAAUGUUUUCCGAGUAACUUGUCGUUCCAUUGCCAGAGCCCCAAAUUCCAGCUAGGAUGCAGCCGAGACCUUCUAUAGCGAUCCCUCGGUUCAUAGCGUGAACAGGAGGUGGUCGUGCACCGGCUAAUCUAGCGCAAGCAUAGUAAUCUCCUAUGCUCUCGAUGGCCGAUGCCAAAACACCCGCCAACAUUCCAAACACAGCCGCCACGCUCACCGUUGGAAGACCCCAUUGACCUAUUUAAUAAACGCCCCAGUGUUUGCCUGCCAUGUUUCCUGCCGCGCCAAAAAGCGACAAUCCCACCAUGACAAUGGCAGGAGCGAUUGUUAGUGGAGUAAUGAAUCGCAGAAUCAAACCGACAAUUCCUUCAAAGAUAACGUUCAAGUUUAAACAAUACCAGAAGAUACCAUCAGGACAUUCAAAUAAUACCGAAAACACCGAUGGCGACUUGGAAGACGGAAGCGACGAUGAUGGCGCCCUGCACUUCCCUCAUCCUCAAUUGCCACAGUUCCGUCUUGUCCUCGUACGUCAUGUUGGCCAUGACUUGGGGCGCUGGGCAUGACCACUCAGGCAGAUUCAAGAUCGCAAAUGUAGGCACCAAGAAUGCGAACGUACCUCCUUGAACUAUAGUGCACUGGAGCAGAGUGAUGAUGCCCGAGACAAAGAUGAUGGUGGAAACGAUGGCGCUGCGCACCGGAUCGUUCUCUUCCAUGCACAAGGCCGGCGUCAGGAUGAAAGGCACGGAAAUGGUCCCUCCGAACAUCAUCAAAUAGUGCUGUCAAAAGAAAAAGACCGGAUGAAAAUCUUUUGAAUUUUGAAACAGUUGCUGGAGGCGGGAAUCCCGUUGCAUUUGGGGAGGAAAUAUAGGACAUCUAGCGACCUAGAUUCAAAGACGCGUACAAACACACAACGAAGGCCUCGGUAUGAAAGGUAUAACUAAUACCGAUUUUGAAUGUUAUUUAAUUAUUUACCUGAAAUCCCAAAAGACAGGAAAGAUGCCACGGUGGAACGUCAUCGACCGAAUAGAGUAAAGAAUGUUGACGCGGCUUGCUGAUGGACUCAGCUACAUCCAAUUGAUUAUCUUCUUUUUGCUGAUGCGUUUCGGAAUCCUUCCGGUUGAGAGCUAAAUUUGUUUGACCGUUGCUGGCCAUCCUAAAUAUUCCCUAAACUUUACAACUGAUUCACCUGCAGUAGCACAUCGACUCCAAGUGGGACGCGCUUACCCGAGUAA